Long non-coding RNA from Daphnia pulex (common water flea), 1442 nucleotides. RefSeq lists it as uncharacterized. The transcript is spliced from 3 exons. The record is from RefSeq and is a predicted model, not a curated record. Lineage: Eukaryota; Metazoa; Arthropoda; Branchiopoda; Diplostraca; Daphniidae.
UAGUUUCGGAAAGGUUUCUUUUUUCCGGAAGGUGUCUCGAGCUGCUUUUUGAUGAAUUUCCCGUGGUGACAGAGGACGAUUUCCUAUCCCCAUGUUCUAUCGGCGGGACUGUAAAAUUAUCCGUCGUGAUCCCUGAUGACGAUGAUACUUCGAAUGACAAUCCGAACAACAAACAAAAUGACGAAGCAAUCAUAGAUAAUGUCACCGACGAUUUAGAUCCUGAUGCUGAUAAUACUGCUUUUCAAGAGAAUGUCCGCGAUGCCGAGACGUCCUUAAAGGAAUGGUACCCGAUUCGUGAUAUAAUACGUGAGAAUGGCUGGGACAAAACUCGCGUUGACUCCUUAUUUGCGCGGCUAGAUGAUGAAAACGCGGAACAGUAAAAAGGACCGUUCAAGUAUCAAUAUCGCUGUCGGAAAAUGGCUUUAUAAGCACAAGGGAAUGUAUGUAUAUACAGUAGCUACACAAAGUUUCCGCACAGCUGAGAGAAGCUUAUGGGAAAACGGGUAUUUUGAAAAUUCGCCAAAAAUCGAGUUUUCGUCGGACGAAAACGAUUUUUGGACAGGGGGUUCUUAGACUUAAGGUUUAUAGCAUAUAUUUUUUGGGUAUUUUUUCGUUCACGCGAACGUCCCUUUUAAAUUGGAAGUAAAAGUUUCCGCACAGUCGAGAGGGCCAUUAGUAAAUCGUACUACUUUGGCUCUCUUGUACUGGACGGAGAAUAGGGCUAGGAGAGUUCUUUAGGGCUUAAAAAAAAGAGCAUCGUUAUCUCUAUAACCUCAUCUGCAAUGCUGACCCCCAUGCCAUUUGAGAAAUCACUUUAAUUUCGAUGUGAAAAUGAAAAGUUUUCAUUUCUCAGUUAUUUUCCCUUUGUUCCCCCCUCCCGUAGUUGCCGGUUUUCCAAAUACCAAGUCUAAAAAAAAGGUCCUAGAGAUGGCCUGUCUUUUUUCUCCCCCUGCCCCUAAUAUUUAAAAUCUCGGUAUUUGGAAAAUUAUAUUAUCUCGGUAUUUGGUGGUCAGGGCGGAAACAUGGGCCGGUAUAGUAUGGCCCAGGUAAACCCCCCUUUCACUCACCCCUGGUGCGCGCAGUCCCCUCUCGCUCGACCCUCCUUUUUAGGGGGGUCGAGCGGAGAGUGGAGCGUCGAGCGUUUUACGGGCACUUUCGCUUAUUUGCACACCCUAAACCCUAUUCAUGCAAGACUGAAUACUAUUCGCGAAAGACCCAUUCAUGCAAAGACCCUAUUGUUUUAUUUCAUAAUAGUUAAAUUUUUAGGCCGAGUCGUGAUCGUUAGGUAGCUUUGAUUUAGAUCAAGUUCGAGAUCCAAAACUCCAGCAGGUUUUGUAAGGGCAGUUACCGAGUGCAUGAUCUGUGGUUGUUACUCAUGUCACAAUCUUGGCCAUUUGGAUGGUGCAUUAUAUUUGGAUUAAAUCUAUGUGUCUGCAGUUUUC